RNAcentral lists this ribosomal RNA (254 nucleotides) under uncultured bacterium. RNAcentral's name for it is "partial 16S ribosomal RNA". It matches the Rfam family "Bacterial small subunit ribosomal RNA", at positions 524 to 776 of the family's 1533-position model. The record is from RNAcentral.
UACGUAGGGUGCGAGCGUUAAUCGGAAUUACUGGGCGUAAAGCGUGCGCAGGCGGUCUGUUAAGACCGAUGUGAAAUCCCCGGGCUUAACCUGGGAACUGCAUUGGUGACUGGCAGGCUUUGAGUGUGGCAGAGGGAGGUAGAAUUCCACGUGUAGCAGUGAAAUGCGUAGAGAUGUGGAGGAAUACCGAUGGCGAAGGCGGGUCUCUGGGCCGAUACUGACGCUGAGGCGCGAAAGCUAGGGGAGCAAACAGG